Long non-coding RNA from Rhincodon typus (whale shark), 4155 nucleotides. RefSeq lists it as uncharacterized. NCBI's taxonomy places the organism in Eukaryota, Metazoa, Chordata, Chondrichthyes, Orectolobiformes, Rhincodontidae. The record is from RefSeq and is a predicted model, not a curated record. The transcript is spliced from 3 exons.
CCGAAACGUCAGCCUUCCUGCUCCUCUGAUGCUGCUUGGCCUGCUGUGUUCAUCCAGCUCUACACCUUGUUAUCUCUACACAAGAUUCAAGAAUCCAUCUUCUUAAACUACAUUUGCACUUUGAACUCUCACUGGGCAAUUACAGUGUCGAUAAAGACAACAAAAAAGUGCUACAUCAGACGGAACAAUAAAUUGCUGCUCAGUGGACUAUCAAGAACAGGUCAACAGUCUUUGGAAUGCUCUUCCUCAAAAGGUGUUGGAAGCAGAAUCCUUAAAUAUUUUAAGACAGAGGUAAAUAGAUUCUUCCUGAACAAGGGGAUGAAAAAUUAUUGGAGGUAAUCGGAUCUGUCGUGAUCUUAUUGAGUAGCAGAGCAUGCUCAAGGUGCCAAGUGGGCUACUCCUCAUUCUAACUUGGAUAUUCAAAAUAAACGUGGUUUCUACACUGUUAAUGUGUAGAAUAUGAAAAGGUCCAUAUUUUCUUCUGGCAUGAGCUAAUAAUUUACGGAUGAUACUUGAUUUUUAAAAUAAUGUUUGUAAAUUUAUUGUAUUUAAUACUGAAAAAGCAGCAAAAUAUUAUAGCUUCCUUGCAUAUCCGUUAACAUUGUUGAGGUUUUAGUGGUGACAAUCUUAGAGGGAAAAAAAGUUUGAUAAUCAGGCAGUUCACUAGCUAGCUAAAUGCUUGUCAAACAUACAAGUGGAAUGGGUAACUGACUGUAAAACUGGCCAAAACAAAGGACAGACAUGAUUUUUGUUUCAAAAAUCCUAAACUAAAUAUAUUAAAUGUAUAAGGAAAAGACAGCUGCAAAACUGUGAUUUAACUGCUGUUAAAAAGCAGAUAACUGCAAUACUUCAAAAUCUGAAAGCAAAAUAUUGUAAAUGGGUGUCAACAUCUAAAAAAAGGGAAGACAGUCGAAUGACUUCAAUUCUGACAAUGGUUUACAUCCAUUAAAAAUAGGGUUGUAUCUUUCUGCAGGUGCAAACACAUACGCUAUGACUUUCCCUUUUAUUUAACUUAAUGGAGUUUGCAGAGUUGGCAUCACAAUCAGUGGGAACUAUUGAGAACUUUAAUCCAAAUCCAAGAAUGGGUUGACCUGAAUUUUGCAGUCAGCGGUGACAUAACAGCACUUAUUGCUGCUCUCAAAGAAAACUGUCCAGUGAUUUAGUAAUCUCUGUAGGCUUAAUUUCAACUUUCCCAGCACUUGUGUGGAUGUGGUGCUAACUAUAGGGGACACCUGGUACGCAGCAGAGAUGUUUUCAAGCAAGGUAAACAGCUAUUCUUGGACACCAUGAAGUAACAAGCAGGUUCUAUCAUUCAUGUCUUAAAAGUUUUUUUGAAGCAGAAAGUGAAAGAGAGACUGGGACAUACACAUUACAUUAAAAGGUAGUUGCUGAAAUGUCAAGCAUUAAAAAUAAUUUUGUUUUAAUCAUUUAAAAAAUCAUUAGGUAGCACAAACUUGAGGGUUUAAAAAAGAUGUUUCAUCAAAACUCUUCAUUUUACACUCAUUAAGUCAGUUCACAAGAAAUACCAAUGUAAAGGGAAAAUUAUAUUUAUACUGUAUGAUAGUGCUGAUUCGUUAAUAAAUGACUGUUAUAAACAUUGCCAUGGAGAAUGCACCAGAAAGAUGAUGACUGACAGUUAACUGCCAGGUUUUAUUUAAGUUUUAAACCAGGCAAGUCUACUUUCUGACUGAUCAAGGGAUUUCCCUACGGAAUAAACCAAAGAAUUACCAUCACCUAUAUAGUUGAAUUGAAACAGAUGCAAUGUGUGUAUGUUACUUCUGUCUGUAAAAAAUGGACUGUAUGUAUUAAACCUGCCUUGUUCAUAAUUUAAACAAAGCUUUGCAGUUAACUGUUGUCAUCAUUUAUCUUGUGCAUUGUCCACAGCAACACUUCUACCAAUCAGAAUCCACUUGUCAACAAGUCAGCACUCUCACACAGAAUAAAUGUUAUUUUUCUAUAAUAUUGGUAUUUCUUCACAAUUAGCAAUAUUCAAAUUCUCAAAUCUAUAAAAAUCAUAAAGUUGAGAAAUUUGACAAUCCGCAACUAAGAAAAUUUGGUUAUUUUAGGACCAAGAAGUUCUUUAAGAGUAAUUAUGAAGUUACCCAAAUCCACCUCAUUCAAUGUGUACCUUCUUAAAGUUUUUUUAUAAACACUAUUAGUUCAGCUGUAAAGGUGCAAAUGUAUAUCAAUGCAGUGAUUUCUAAUUAAUUACCAACUAGACUUGAAUAGCAAAUGCUUGGAAGAGCGAUGAAAUCACAAAGUAGCUUCAAAAUUUAAUGGAAUAUAUAUUGAUACCACAAGUUGCCAUCAUUUUCACUGAGUAAUAAUGGAAAAUGUUAACAGUUCUAACAUCAUUACAACUCCAAACUUUCAACUAACAUAGCUGAAGUUAUUCACCACCUUUAAUAUCAAUAAUUUAAAAUCUAUUUGAAAAAGUUACACAACGAGCUUAUCCUUUCUGUGGCUAUUAAGGCUACCGACUUCUAAUGUUCUGUCUCUCCCAACGGUGGAGGCACAGUGGGGAUUCCAGUGGAACAGCAUUGUAAUGUUAGAAGUUGCUACUUAUCAGAUCACGCUCAACUCAGAAGUGCUUUGAUAAUUUCACAUGAAAAAUGACUUUUGCCAGAUUGUAAUUUCCACUUCAAUGUAAAAUUAUACAUGCAUCAUAUAUUGAAUAAUAAAGAUUACACUUUGUCAGGAAUUUUAAGUCGAUAUAUCCGACUGAAAGAAGCAGUUGAAGGGAGGGAAUUUAACUAAACAUACAGUUGAGGCUGAAGAACCUUUAAGUUAAUAACUGCACUUGCAAUGCAUAUUUUGCAUUCUACAAUAAUUCUAAACCCUUUCCCAUGACCAUAUUCGAGAGAUAGUGAGGUGAAAGGGUUUCAGAAAGGAUUUCUAAAGCUUAGUGUCCAGCCACCUGAAGAUUUAAUCCAUAUCCUUUUAGCUUUGAGUAAUUACAAAGUUAUUUAUUAUUAUUGGAUAAUCUUGGCUUCAAAUUUAAAAUCCUCAUCCGUUUUCAAUCCCUCCACAGCCUCAUUAAUCGCAUUUCUAUAAUCUCCUCCAGCCUCACAACCCUCAACAUCUAUGUUGCUCCAAUUCUGACCUCCUAUGAAUCACCAAUUUCAAAUAAUCUGCCAUUGGCAGCCAUGCUUUUAGUUGACUGGGCCCUAAUUUCUGGAAUUUAGACCAGAACCCUCAAUCUCUUUAUUCUUUCUUGGCCUUCCAAGAGCCUACCAAAACGUAUGCCCUUGACCAAGCUUCCUAAUAGAUCUUCACAUGGCAAAAAAUUAGUCACACCUGUAAAAUACCUUGGGAGGUUUUACUACAUUAAAAGGUGCCAUAUAAAUGCAUGUUACAGUUAGCGUUGUUAAAUUCCUGUUGAAACAAUUGUAUGUGAGUAACUGAAGUCACAGUAGGUAAAUGUAAUUAGCUUGGCACUCUCUCACUAUCCUAGGACUUUAAUAACAAUGCAGCAUGCAAUGAAUUUGCUGUGUAAUCAUACGCAAUGAUUCAUAGAGAAGGUUUUUUUUUAAAAGUGCUAACAUACAUAAGAGAAAACAGUAAGCUUCCAACAGUGUAUCAUCAUAACACAUCCAAACACCUAAAAACCAUAUCAAAUUAUUGCUUUCAGCCACUGUUUUGAAAAGUUUGUUGAUUUGUAUCAAUAUGCACUCGAUGAUAAAGAGAAAGAAGCAAUUAUGCAGUGACUAAUUCACAAUCAAGUUUCAAAAUGAAUAUGUCCUUUGCAGAGCUGAGGUCAGUUUUACUUGUUGGAAAAUCUCAUCACAGAGAAAGACAAAAAUGAUCAUAACUCAAAACAUAGCUCAAAAUACAAUCCUACAGCACAGAAAGUUUAAUUCUUUGUGCACUGAGUUUCAAAAAGGGAACUUUUUAUUGUGGAUGUAGCAACACAAUGACUAUCACUGAAACAUCUUAAUGCAAUAAAGUGUUGUAUAUAUGAAAAUUCUUCUUGGACAAGAUUUACAAAAUGGAGACCAAAAUUGCUGCCUGUUUUCAGAGUUUAAAUUAUGGAUUAAAAAACUGGCUUUGAUUUCAGUUUAACUAAUCCAAACCUGGUCAAUUAAACACUGCCAGACCUAAAAAGUAAGUUCAACAAAGAUAAGAAUAACAAAGAUAAGAAUUUCAAAAACAAAG